CCCUACUGCUAUCGGGGUGGGACUAAGCCAUGCGAGUCGUGCGUCUUUACGCUAUGGUGAGGCGCGGUCAUACGGCUCAGUAACACGUGGCUAACCUACCCUUGGGACGGGGACAACCCCGGGAAACUGGGGCUAAUCCCCGAUGGGUGAGGAGGCCUGGAAUGGUUCCUCGCCGAAAGGGCGCUGAAACCAUGCUUUUCAGCGUUGCCCAAGGACGGGGCCGCGGCCGAUCAGGUUGUUGGUGGGGUAACGGCUCACCAAGCCUUUGACCGGUACGGGCCGUGAGAGUGGGAGCCCGGAGAUGGGCACUGAGACAAGGGCCCAGGCCCUACGGGGUGCAGCAGGCGCGAAAACUCCGCAAUGCGCGAAAGCGUGACGGGGCUAUCCCGAGUGCCGUCCGCUGAGGAUGGCUUUUCCACGGUGUAAGGAGCCGUGGGAAUAAGGAGAGGGCAAGACUGGUGUCAGCCGCCGCGGUAAUACCAGCUCUCCGAGUGGUAGGGACGAUUAUUGGGCUUAAAGCGUCCGUAGCCGGCCCGGUAAGUCUCUCGUCAAAUCCAGCGACCUAAUCGUUGGACUGCGGGAGAUACUGUUGGGCUAGGAGGCGGGAGAGGCCGACGGUAUUCUCGGGGUAGGGGUGAAAUCCUAUAAUCCCGGGAGGACCACCAGUGGCGAAGGCGGUCGGCUAGAACGCGCUCGACGGUGAUGGACGAAAGCUGGGGGAGCGAACCGGAUUAGAUACCCGGGUAGUCCCAGCUGUAAACGAUGCGGGCUAGGUGUUGGGGAGGCUACGAGCCUCUUCAGUGCCGCAGC
This 810-nucleotide ribosomal RNA is filed under the name uncultured archaeon. RNAcentral describes it as "bacterial SSU rRNA". It matches the Rfam family "Archaeal small subunit ribosomal RNA", at positions 21 to 807 of the family's 1478-position model. The record is from RNAcentral.